GCGAUCAUACCAGAACUAAUGCACCGGAUCCCAUCAGAACUCCGCAGU
Molecule: ribosomal RNA, 48 nt
Filed under: Chenopodium formosanum
Lineage: Eukaryota; Viridiplantae; Streptophyta; Magnoliopsida; Caryophyllales; Amaranthaceae
Source: RNAcentral